GACGAACGCUGGCGGCGUGCCUAACACAUGCAAGUCGAACGGGGUGAAGCCCUUCGGGACUUCACUUAGUGGCGAACGGGUGAGUAACGCGUGAGGAACCUGCCUUUCAGUGGGGGACAACAGUUGGAAACGACUGCUAAUACCGCAUAACACUUUUUGGGGACAUCCCUAAAAAGUCAAAGCUUUAUGUGCUGAAAGAUGGACCCGCGGCGCAUUAGCUAGUUGGUGAGGUAAUGGCCCACCAAGGCGACGAUGCGUAGCCGACCUGAGAGGGUGAUCGGCCACAUUGGAACUGAGACACGGUCCAGACUCCUACGGGAGGCAGCAGUGGGGAAUAUUGCACAAUGGGGGAAACCCUGAUGCAGCAACGCCGCGUGAGUGAUGACGGUCUUCGGAUUGUAAAGCUCUGUCUUUAGGGACGAUAAUGACGGUACCUAAGGAGGAAGCCACGGCUAACUACGUG
This 463-nucleotide ribosomal RNA is filed under the name uncultured bacterium. RNAcentral describes it as "bacterial SSU rRNA". It matches the Rfam family "Bacterial small subunit ribosomal RNA", at positions 28 to 507 of the family's 1533-position model. The record is from RNAcentral.